RNAcentral lists this unclassified non-coding RNA (340 nucleotides) under fungal sp. Its description in RNAcentral is "partial internal transcribed spacer region". The stretch from base 1 to 46 matches the Rfam family "Eukaryotic small subunit ribosomal RNA", at positions 1786 to 1831 of the family's 1831-position model. The record is from RNAcentral. Lineage: Eukaryota; Fungi.
AAGUCGUAACAAGGUUUCCGUAGGUGAACCUGCGGAAGGAUCAUCAUUAAACAGGUCUUUGACCAGUCCAAUCCAUAGAUUGACCCGGCGAGGAGGAUCGGUUUACCCGGAAGGGGUUGACGAGCCCGUAGGGUAUGGAAGAUCUCCGAGUGCCGGGAGACUUUAACACAAGUCGGUGCCAGUGAGCACACUGGUGGACAGCUGACGAGUCUUCGACCGGGGAAAUGCCCGGUGUCCACCUGGUCAAUUCAGACGAGAAAACUUUCGAACAGGAUUCUGACGGGGUAAUCCCGGUCAGUCAAUUGGUAAAAACUUUCGGCAAUGGAUCUCUCGGCUCUCC